RNAcentral lists this transfer RNA (75 nucleotides) under Cyanobacteria bacterium J003. RNAcentral describes it as "tRNA-Lys". It matches the Rfam family "tRNA". Rfam says of the family: Transfer RNA (tRNA) molecules are approximately 80 nucleotides in length. Lineage: Bacteria; Bacillati; Cyanobacteriota. The record is from RNAcentral.
GGGUCGCUAGCUCAGCGGUAGAGCACUCGGCUUUUAACCGAUUGGUCUUGGGUUCGAAUCCCAGGCGACCCACUA